RNAcentral lists this long non-coding RNA (519 nucleotides) under Ananas comosus (pineapple). RNAcentral's name for it is "long non-coding RNA (ACOM_LNC015367)". Lineage: Eukaryota; Viridiplantae; Streptophyta; Magnoliopsida; Poales; Bromeliaceae. The record is from RNAcentral.
CGAUCUCUCUCUCUCUCUCUCUCUCUCUCUCUCUCUCUCUCUAUAUAUAUAUAUAUAUAUAUAUAUAUAUAUAUAUAGAACUAGGCUACUAUACUAUCGGUAGCACGGAGCGCUCCGUGCUACCAAGUUGUUUUCGAUGAUGCGGCUUCCAAAUCGACGAUCGGCUCCGUUAGACUUGAUCUACACUAUUGAAAGUAUUUGGAAACUAAAUUUCAGAUUUUUUCGACAUCAUUUGACUAGUGAUCAAAAGAUCUCAAAAUUGACAAUUUUAAUAGCCGAUGUGGUGUGUUUGUGAGUUUAACGGUGUAAAACAAUCCAAAUGCGAUGAAAAUUUUAUAGAAAAUUCUUUUCACUAUUUAGAGUAAGAUCAGUGUAUCUGAUCUUGAAUUUAAAUCUUUUAUCAUCAUUUUUCAUGAGAUUUUUAUUUUCAGUUGUUCAAUUUUAGACUACUUGUUUGAUAGGUAAAUGGUAUCGAAAAAUUAUGAAAUUUAGUUUCUAAAUACUUUUAAUAGUGUAGAU